This 1204-nucleotide ribosomal RNA is filed under the name Ascochyta sp. RNAcentral describes it as "partial large subunit ribosomal RNA". It matches the Rfam family "Eukaryotic large subunit ribosomal RNA", at positions 113 to 1337 of the family's 3401-position model. The record is from RNAcentral. Lineage: Eukaryota; Fungi; Ascomycota; Dothideomycetes; Pleosporales; Didymellaceae.
AUUUGAAAUCUGGCGUCUUUGGCGUCCGAGUUGUAAUUUGCAGAGGGCGCUUUGGCAUUGGCAGCGGUCCAAGUUCCUUGGAACAGGACGUCACAGAGGGUGAGAAUCCCGUACGUGGUCGCUAGCCUUUACCGUGUAAAGCCCCUUCGACGAGUCGAGUUGUUUGGGAAUGCAGCUCUAAAUGGGAGGUAAAUUUCUUCUAAAGCUAAAUACUGGCCAGAGACCGAUAGCGCACAAGUAGAGUGAUCGAAAGAUGAAAAGCACUUUGGAAAGAGAGUUAAAAAGCACGUGAAAUUGUUGAAAGGGAAGCGCUUGCAGCCAGACUUGCCUGUAGUUGCUCAUCCGGGUUUCUACCCGGUGCACUCUUCUACAGGCAGGCCAGCAUCAGUUUGGGCGGUUGGAUAAAGGUCUCUGUCAUGUACCUCCCUUCGGGGAGAACUUAUAGGGGAGACGACAUGCAGCCAGCCUGGACUGAGGUCCGCGCAUCUGCUAGGAUGCUGGCGUAAUGGCUGUAAGCGGCCUGUCUUGAAACACGGACCAAGGAGUCUAACAUCUAUGCGAGUGUUUGGGUGUCAAGCCCGAGCGCGUAAUGAAAGUGAACGGAGGUGGGAACCUUUCGGGGUGCACCAUCGACCGAUCCUGAUGUCUUCGGAUGGAUUUGAGUAAGAGCAUAGCUGUUGGGACCCGAAAGAUGGUGAACUAUGCUUGAAUAGGGUGAAGCCAGAGGAAACUCUGGUGGAGGCUCGCAGCGGUUCUGACGUGCAAAUCGAUCGUCAAAUUUGGGCAUAGGGGCGAAAGACUAAUCGAACUAUCUAGUAGCUGGUUCCUGCCGAAGUUUCCCUCAGGAUAGCAGUAACGUUUUCAGUUUUAUGAGGUAAAGCGAAUGAUUAGAGGCCUGGGGGUUGAAACAACCUUCACCUAUUCUCAAACUUUAAAUAUGUAAGAAGUCCUUGUUACUUGAUUGAACGUGGACAGUUGAAUGUAUCGUUACUAGUGGGCCAUUUUUGGUAAGCAGAACUGGCGAUGCGGGAUGAACCGAACGCGGGGUUAAGGUGCCAGAAUAUACGCUCAUCAGACACCACAAAAGGUGUUAGUUCAUCUAGACAGCAGGACGGUGGCCAUGGAAGUCGGAAUCCGCUAAGGAGUGUGUAACAACUCACCUGCCGAAUGAACUAGCCCUGAAAAUGGAUGGCGCUCAAGCGUG